RNAcentral lists this ribosomal RNA (433 nucleotides) under uncultured bacterium. Its description in RNAcentral is "partial 16S ribosomal RNA". It matches the Rfam family "Bacterial small subunit ribosomal RNA", at positions 29 to 507 of the family's 1533-position model. The record is from RNAcentral.
AACGAACGCUGGCGGCAUGCCUAACACAUGCAAGUCGAACGAGACCUUCGGGUCUAGUGGCGCACGGGUGCGUAACGCGUGGGAACCUGCCCUUAGGUUCGGAAUAACUCCCCGAAAGGGGUGCUAAUACCGGAUAAUGUCUUCGGACCAAAGAUUUAUCGCCUUUGGAUGGGCCCGCGUUGGAUUAGCUAGUUGGUAGGGUAAAAGCCUACCAAGGCGACGAUCCAUAGCUGGUCUGAGAGGAUGAUCAGCCACACUGGGACUGAGACACGGCCCAGACUCCUACGGGAGGCAGCAGUGGGGAAUAUUGGACAAUGGGCGAAAGCCUGAUCCAGCAAUGCGGCGUGAGUGAUGAAGGCCUUAGGGUUGUAAAGCUCUUUUACACGGGAUGAUAAUGACAGUACCGGGAGAAUAAGCUCCGGCUAACUCCGUG